AUGUACAUGUCGCCCGACGCGUGGUGGAACUGCAGGCCCAGCGGCCGCCCGCACGCGCUCUCCGGCUCCACCACCUUCUUCCUCGCCGCGCACUCCGCCACCGUCCUGCGUGUUCGGUUAGCUCACGAUCGUGCUGUGCCCAAGGUUGUGCAUGGCCGGUUGAUCGAUCACUCACUUGUGCUUGUAGUUGUGGGCGAACUCGGUCCAGCCGCGGUGGCGGCGGUUGCCCCUCCACCGGACGACGCGACCGUUGGAAACGCCGGUGUACGGGCCGCCGCCGCGGUGGUCAAAGACGAUGCUCUCCGGGCCGAACGCCGGCCGGGCCAACCGCACCGGUAUGACCCUCGAGCCGGCGUAAAUAGACUUCAUCUCCUGGGUGGCGGCCGCCAUUGGAGGUGGCCAUAUGAGAAAUGCGAGGGAGAGGAAGGACAUGAGCAAGGUGGCAGAGCGACAAUGCCUGGCCUCCUCCAUGUCCAUUAA
Molecule: ribosomal RNA, 480 nt
Filed under: Triticum aestivum (bread wheat)
Lineage: Eukaryota; Viridiplantae; Streptophyta; Magnoliopsida; Poales; Poaceae
Description: partial small subunit ribosomal RNA
Source: RNAcentral